Papilio polytes (common Mormon) is the source of this 294-nucleotide long non-coding RNA. RefSeq lists it as uncharacterized. The transcript is spliced from 2 exons. The record is from RefSeq and is a predicted model, not a curated record. Lineage: Eukaryota; Metazoa; Arthropoda; Insecta; Lepidoptera; Papilionidae.
UGACGUUUUCUUGAUAUCUUAAGAUUUAUUUGUUGAAAAAUGGUUAUUAUUGAAUAUUUAUAACAGUAACAUGGCUUUUGGAUAGUGAGUUGGAAAGAGAGAUAUUAAUUUACAUAAUUUUAGGAGUUUGCUCGUAAUUUGCAUUAUUAUAUACAGCGUACAUUUUUGUAUACAGUACAUACUACAGAUCACAGACACAGAGAAAAUAAACAAGACGACAAUGUUAGUAUACAAAUAUGAAAACGAUGCAAGUGCAGAAAACAUGAUACAAUACGAUUAAAACAUUUCAUAAUU